UCUCUCAUCAUAUAAACAACAAAGUACAGAGAUACUUACGAUAUAAGUAAGAGAUUCAUGUCACAGUGCAGACAGCUUCAUUUAUUAUACCGAGAGGGUUUUUUUUUUUUUUGAGAGUGCGUAAAUUUGCACCAGACUGAAGUAAGAAAUAAUGUAUGAUAAUAUAAUGUUUUUUUCCAUUGCUUUUCUGUUCUAUAUCGCUGUUUGAAAAACACUGUAAAUGAAAGCGUUAUAAUUAGUAUCUUACGUUUUUAUUAAACUGUGAUUACGUUAAAUACAAAUUAAGUAGUAACCCUAUUAAACAAAUAUUUUAUGGCACGACACCCAUAUUUUUUACCUGCCUUAAAAGAUGGGUUUUUGAUGUGCGUAAUUAUUAGACUAACAUAGGCUUUUGAGUUCACCUUACGCCUAUGAUUCAAGUUAUUCGUGUCUCACAAGGAAAAUUAACGGAGACUCUUGUGUUUUUCUUAAUUCGUUAAGUUAAUAGGGAACAUGGGCCAUUUCCGUGUCGGGCCCCCGAGGGAUCUGCGCCAGUUCUAUUCAUUUGUUUGUACAUAAACAUUCUAUUUCUGUUGUGACGUAAUACAGUGGAACUGAAUAUUAGCAUUGCUUUAGUUCUUGUGUGCAACUAGGACGAACAAAUUACCUGUCUUUCCAUCAAGGUAAUAAAUCUCUUUAGAAAAACAUGAAAUAAUAAUUUAUUUUGCCUUAAAAAAGUCACUAAACCAUAUUUCUGAAACAUCUCAAAUUCUGUUCCUUAUUGUGCAUCAUAUGGAUUUGUCUGUGCAUGUUUUUUUACUCUCAUAGAUUUUGUUACCAUUGCCAUGCAUUAUACGGCUGAGAGACUGCAACGGCUGGACUUAAAAAUCAUAAUUUGUAUUCUACUGAAGAAACAAUGUCACCUACUUCUUAGAUGCCCUGGGGGCUGGAGGAUCUGGAGUUUAACAAUGAAGAAGAGAAGAGGCAGGUUUGUUUUGGACAUUCUCUCUGACGACCAGUGACCACUCCAGACACAUUAACAUCAACAGCGCA
Cyprinus carpio (common carp) is the source of this 1032-nucleotide long non-coding RNA. RefSeq lists it as uncharacterized. The record is from RefSeq and is a predicted model, not a curated record. Lineage: Eukaryota; Metazoa; Chordata; Actinopteri; Cypriniformes; Cyprinidae. The transcript has 3 exons.